Molecule: non-coding RNA, 2661 nt
Organism: Paramuricea clavata
Lineage: Eukaryota; Metazoa; Cnidaria; Anthozoa; Malacalcyonacea; Plexauridae
Source: the annotation of a GenBank genome assembly
CUGAGAUCCAACCAAAAUGGCGGGUGAGUAAGAAAUUUUUGUCAUAUUUUCAUAUAUUUUUAUGGGAAUAAACAUGCCUAAAUUAAAUGUUUAAUGAUAGGGACUGGAAGUCUGAAAAGUUAUAUAAAUAUCCAAUAUAAAAUUGCCAAAUUGGCAUUUUAAUUAUAUAUUUUUCCAAGUGCCUCUGUGGCUGUUUUGCAUGUUUCACCACGGGUUUCACACAGUCAGUAUUUUCUUAAGUAACGUGCCUGGCUGCCCAGGUACAGUUACUCUGGUAUCUCUAUCCAAAAGUAUAUGUCACUAUUAAAUAUGAGUCUAAUUGUAUAAAUAUCAGACAUCAGUAGUAUCAGUAGAUUGACAUUUUAGCUGAUUAGGCCGAUGGAAUUAUUAAGGUAUCAGUUUACCGUCACCCACCCGCGUGUGUUGUUGGCAGCCGCGUGAAAUUCUCAUUAUUUCAAUAUUUUUUUCAUUAUUUGUCAAAUUUGUAUAGCAAGAGUUUCAAAAAUGGCUAUCUGUUGAAAUUUUUGGCAAAUACUGACUUUGUUUAUACAGUUAGCGAAGCCACAGCAAAACGGAGUCAAAGACAUAGCUGAUAGCUCGGAAGCUCACAGGCGCGGCCCAGACGUGUAUCAGUAUAUAGCAAAUAUAUAAUUAUAGAAUAUACUACACAGUAAAAUUUGUAAUGAAUUUUAUAUUUUCAAAUCAUAUUUACUUGCCUACUUUAAUAUUUAUUGAUCGUCUUUUAUUUCUGGGCGACUUUACACUCUGUGCCUGCGACUGUCAAAGUAGGCAAGUAAAUAUGAUUUGAAAAUAUAAUUACAAAUUUUACUGUGUAGUAUAUUCUAUAAUUAUAUAUUUACUUUGAUCGAAAUUUGAAUUUUUAAUUCAAAACUUGACAAAUUCAAAUCGUGAAAAAUAAUGAAUAAUGAAAAAACUCUGCAUAAACUUUCGAAAUUUUAGGUGACGGUAAACUGAUACCUUAAUUCCAUCGGCCUUAUAAAUUGCCCAGACUGUAAAGUAUUAUUUUUGCGUGGGGAACUUUUCCGUCAUAAAUAUGCAGAUUUUGUAGGAUUUUCUUGAAAAUGUGCAGACAGAAAUUCAGCUAAAAUUUCUGCAUGGGGAUACAGACGGGUCAUUGCAUAUUUGCUUUCAAAUUCAAAAUUUAUAUCAGGACUGCAUGAGGCCUAAAAAUUUAUAUCCUGUUGUUCUGACUUCAUAUUCUGAAAAAUGUAGGGUAGGUAGACUGAUAGAGGGUCCUGAAGGGGUAAAACUGGAACUGGAUAGAGCUGUGCAAACUCUGGUUAUUUUAGCUCUGGCAGUCACAACUCUUUAAUGAAAUUUCAUAUUUAAAAGUGAAGCAGGCGAAAGUAUUUCAGUGUAGUUUCAGAAUUUAUCUUUUUUAACACAUUUUUACAACACUACUAAUAGUAAACAACAUAGUAAUAUAUAGUAAAACAACAUAUAAACAGUAAUAUAUCAGUAAACAACAACUUAAUUUUUCCAUUUAAUACCAAAUGUUCAUUGAAAUAUGAAAUAAUUUUUCAUAAUUUUGUCUGCCAGAGUUUUUGCCGGAGUUUUCCAACUCCGGCUGAGGGCUCCGGCAAAAUAUACCGCAGCUCCGGUGCACAGCUCUAGAACUGGAUUUCCUAUUUUUGGACUGGUAAAAUGGGAUUUGGGUUGCUGGGAGUAAAAGGUCAUAUCCCCCCGCUCCCCCUCAGGACCAUCUAGGUAGGUUGAAAUUAUUUUUAAAUUUUUGCUUGAUAUUGUUCAAAAUAUUAUGAUUGAGCAUGGUGGUGUCUGGUGACAGUGUAGGUGCAAUAAUAUACUUCUAGUAUUCUAGAGUGUGACAAUGAGCUGUAGUGAGUUGGUUGGAAGUAUUUAAUAAGAAUGAAAAAACCCAAACUUAAAACAAAAAGUGUGUGAACAGGAAUGUUCUGAUCUUUGUUUUAGCCUCUUGACCAAAUCUGCAACAACAUACAAGGAAACAGCAUUGUGGCAUUGCCAUUGCUUAUUUUCAUAUAUUAAAAGCUUUUUCAAUUUCUCUUUUGACAGGUCUGUGAGGAACUCUAGUCAAAUUUGAUGUACACUAACUGUGUACUCUGAUGACUCUUGACCGAAAGCGAUUUUUGUGUGUUUGUAGUCAUUACAUAUGGUGUAAAUUUCCUGUGAUGUGUUUUGUUGUUUAGUUUUUGUAUUGCAUGUCAUUGCUUUUUGUUUUUUAAGUCUCAAUGUUUUGUUGAUGUUGUGUGCUGUUGUUACUGUAUUUAUAAUGUAUUACUGUAAGAUGUUUGUGUCAUAUUUGUAAUGUCAAUGUCGAGUAAUGAUGAAAUUGAAUUGUCUGAGUGAUCUGACCCAGGUCAGAUAUGAUCCAACAAUUUUCUAUCUGUCUGAACUCAUUGUGAUUAAUAUAUUGCUAGGUCAUUAUCUUUAUUGAUAAGUGGAAUUGUGGGAUUGUUAUUACUCAUAGUACAUGUACCUUUCGCCUUGCAGGCAUUUAGUCCUAUGCCUAUGCAGGGUUCGAGAUUGGCGCUAUCCUUGUCCUUGACGAUACCAGUUUUCAAUUUUGGAUACCAGAUGUUAAAACCUUGGUAUCCAACCUGGUUACCAGGAAAUUCUUGCCUAACUAUCAAUUGUUGAACAUUACUUAUAAACUUUUCAAAG